RNAcentral lists this ribosomal RNA (445 nucleotides) under uncultured bacterium. RNAcentral's name for it is "bacterial SSU rRNA". It matches the Rfam family "Bacterial small subunit ribosomal RNA", at positions 331 to 793 of the family's 1533-position model. The record is from RNAcentral.
CCAGACUCCUACGGGAGGCAGCAGUGGGGGAUAUUGCACAAUGGGGGGAACCCUGAUGCAGCGACGCCGCGUGAGCGAUGAAGUAUUUCGGUAUGUAAAGCUCUAUCAGCAGGGAAGAAAAUGACGGUACCUGACUAAGAAGCCCCGGCUAACUACGUGCCAGCAGCCGCGGUAAUACGUAGGGGGCAAGCGUUAUCCGGAUUUACUGGGUGUAAAGGGAGCGUAGACGGUCCUGCAAGCCAGAUGUGAAAGCCCGGGGCUCAACCCCGGGACUGCUCUGGAAACUGCGUCGCUGGAGUACGGGAGGGGCAGGCGGAAUUCCUGGUGUAGCGGUGAAAUGCGUAGAUAUCAGGAGGAACACCGGCGGCGAAGGCGGCCUGCUGGACCGUGACUGACGUUGAGGCUCGAGAGCGUGGGGAGCAAACAGGAUUAGAUACCCCCGUAC